Molecule: ribosomal RNA, 311 nt
Filed under: uncultured bacterium
Lineage: Bacteria
Description: bacterial SSU rRNA
Rfam family: Bacterial small subunit ribosomal RNA
Source: RNAcentral
CAGAAGAAGCACCGGCUAACUCCGUGCCAGCAGCCGCGGUAAUACGGAGGGUGCGAGCGUUAAUCGGAAUUACUGGGCGUAAAGCGCAUGCAGGUGGUUGUUAAGUCAGAUGUGAAAGCCCGGGGCUCAACCUCGGAAUUGCAUUUGAAACUGGCAAACUAGAGUACUGUAGAGGGGGUAGAAGUUUCAGGUGUAGCGGUGAAAUGCGUAGAGAUCUGAAGGAAUACCGGUGGCGAAGGCGGCCCCCUGGACAGAUACUGACACUCAGAUGCGAAAGCGUGGGGAGCAAACAGGAUUAGAUACCCUGGCAG